AAACUUUCAGCAAUGGAUGUCUUGGCUCGUGCAUCGAUGAAGGACGCACCGAAAUGCGAUACGCAUUGUGAAUUGCAAAUUUCAGUGAACCAUUAGAUUUCCGAACGCAUAUG
This 113-nucleotide ribosomal RNA is filed under the name Eimeria auburnensis. Its description in RNAcentral is "partial 5.8S ribosomal RNA". It matches the Rfam family "5.8S ribosomal RNA", at positions 1 to 112 of the family's 154-position model. From Rfam's summary of the family: 5.8S ribosomal RNA (5.8S rRNA) is a component of the large subunit of the eukaryotic ribosome. It is transcribed by RNA polymerase I as part of the 45S precursor that also contains 18S and 28S rRNA. Functionally, it is thought that 5.8S rRNA may be involved in ribosome translocation. The record is from RNAcentral. Lineage: Eukaryota; Apicomplexa; Conoidasida; Eucoccidiorida; Eimeriidae.